UCCGCCCAGGAAGCGCCGCAACCCGGGCUCCGGAGGGGCGAAGGGGGGCGAGGCGGGGAGCCACCGCCGAGGGGGUUCUUGCCCCCCACUUUGCACCACGCACUCUGUUCCCAGCCCAGGGGCACCGACACAAAAUGUGGCUAAAGCCGACCAGGCCGAGCUGUUGAGGAAUGCUGGGGUUUGGCGGCAGAAAGGAUGGGACCAGAGAGACGGGGUGUGAAGGAGACCCCGGUAGGGGCAGGGCUUUGCAGGCAAAGAAGGGGAAGAAGAGGCCAAGAAGUCAAAGGCCGGGCUGUGAAGGAGAAUAAAGGAGGUCAAAGAGAGGUCGUAUCUUCGUGCCUCACUUCCUGACACAAACAAGUUUUCACUGUUGUCAGCAACAAAGCCCUAAUAUAGCUGCGGGAAGAAAACUGCAUCGCAUUUUUGUCUCCUGCAAGCAUCACCCACAGUUACCGGAGGAAUGUAAUUCCAGAAAGCUUUAAAGCUGGUGGUGAUGGUAAUUAUGUAUCAAAUGCCCGAUUCUGUUUCUGUUAUUAUUGUCCUGUCGUUUCUGUUCUGCCCAAGAGCUGGCUGAACUCGCAGAGGUACAGACCCGGUUUUUCUUUUUGAUCGGGUAAAAUCUAAUCAGACCUGAUGGAGAGAACUCAUUACUCUUGGGGGAAAAUAAAGUGGGAGCCACGAAAUGUCAUUUUCACAA
This is a long non-coding RNA of Eptesicus fuscus (big brown bat), 697 nucleotides long. RefSeq lists it as uncharacterized. Lineage: Eukaryota; Metazoa; Chordata; Mammalia; Chiroptera; Vespertilionidae. The transcript has 2 exons. The record is from RefSeq and is a predicted model, not a curated record.